UACAAAGAUAAAAACACGAACUGGCCGGUAGUCCAGUUGCAGGAAACUGUCAGUAACCUUCCUCCUUAGGUCGUCCAUUCUUUGUUCAU
RNAcentral lists this non-coding RNA (89 nucleotides) under Dielma fastidiosa. RNAcentral's name for it is "yjdF RNA". It matches the Rfam family "azaaromatic riboswitch aptamer (yjdF RNA)", at positions 5 to 92 of the family's 101-position model. Lineage: Bacteria; Bacillati; Bacillota; Erysipelotrichia; Erysipelotrichales; Erysipelotrichaceae. The record is from RNAcentral.